Molecule: long non-coding RNA, 1453 nt
Filed under: Olea europaea subsp. europaea
Lineage: Eukaryota; Viridiplantae; Streptophyta; Magnoliopsida; Lamiales; Oleaceae
Source: RNAcentral
CAGAUGGUGUCAUUUGUUCAUUGGACUGUUAGGGAAAAAAAGCACCCACACACAUGCUUUCACGCAACAUCUGUCAACAAAUCCUGUCAAAAGCCCGUGUUCAAGCAGCACUAUUCAUAUAAAUGACAUGUAGUGCUGCACCGUUUUCAAUUUCCAGUUCUCAAGGUAAAGCAAGAUGGGAACUCAGUAUCAAUUUGCUCCUCGGAUCAUAGCUUUUACAUUAUGUAGUUGCCUUGCCAGAGGAUGGUCAAACGAUUUAACUCGUGGCUUUAAAGAACUCCCAUUUAACACAUCCUUUUAUCACAUUCAAAAACCUUAUGACUUGCCUGUUGAACAAAGGUACAGCUUCAUCAAUGGAGUUCAUAAAUUAUGGGUCUUCUCUACCGAUAAACCUUUAUCACGAAAUAGUCCCACCAGGCCUCUCUCCGAGAUAAUUAUAAGCGUAAUACUCUCUCUCUCUCUCUCUCUCUCUCUCUCUCUCUCUCUUUGUGUGUGCUUGUUCAUGUAGAAAGACUCAUGUAUAGUAUGUUCAUAUCCUUGGGAGUUCUUGAGAGCUAUGUACAUAACAAACAUCAUUAUAUCAUUAAUUAAGACAGAGAAACUUUGUGUUACUUCAGUUUUCGCUGAAUAUACUAACCUUGGAAUAAAAAUUUAUGAAAAAUGAUGCGUAUGGAAUGGAGAAUAUAAAUUCAAUCAUACGCAUACUUUCUUCUUUUUAUGUUGAACUAUCUAAUCUAAAAAGUUUAUAAUCUUAAAGAUGGAUCUGACUUAUUUAUUUGGAUAAUCUUCAACACACUCACUUUAUGUGCAAGUCAUAUAUCACGUUGAACCACGUCACAUACAAUUUUUUUAAUAACAUGUUGGACAUGAUGAACGUGCUUAUAUAUUUUAAUGGUCUUCAACUCUUUCCUUCUUCAUAGGGAUACACCUACUACUCAGGUGUAUGGCAAUUUGAAGCAUAUGGAUAUGUCCCACACGAUACAUCAGGUGUGUCGAUCAUGCAAGUUUUCGGAGCAACCCUACCUCAUAACACAUCCUUUAUACUCGGAGUUAACGAUGGCUCACUCACAUACUUCAAUACGUCCGUCAUUUACCCAAAAGUAUAUGAUAAAUGGUUCAGAUUGAAUGUAAUCCAUGAAGUGGAGACCAGGAAAAUAAUGAUUUACAUUAAUGGAAUCUUCAAAUAUGAAACUCUUGACCUAGGAGGAACUUUUCACUAUUUCAAGUGUGGAGUUUAUGCACAAAAAAAUUCUUCCUUCUAUAUGGAGUCUCGGUGGAAGGGGAUUAGGGUUUUUGGAAGGGGAUUAGGGUUUUUAAGAGAUGUGAUUAACAUUUAAUUAUCCUUCUUUUAAGUAAUUGGUUAUGGAAUAAAAUUGCCUUACAAAAUGUUUAUCUUCUUUUGAUCUCUAACGAACAAUUUAUAAAUAGAAAACUCGUCAAAUUAUUAUUAGCG